This 464-nucleotide ribosomal RNA is filed under the name uncultured bacterium. RNAcentral describes it as "partial 16S ribosomal RNA". It matches the Rfam family "Bacterial small subunit ribosomal RNA", at positions 339 to 795 of the family's 1533-position model. The record is from RNAcentral.
CUACGGGCUGCUGCAGUGGGGAAUAUUGCACAAUGGGCGCAAGCCUGAUGCAGCCAUGCCGCGUGUAUGAAGAAGGCCUUCGGGUUGUAAAGUACUUUCAGCGGGGAGGAAAGGAGUAAAGUUAAUACCUUUGCUCAUUGACGUUACCCGCAGAAGAAGCACCGGCUAACUCCGUGCCAGCAGCCGCGGUAAUACGGAGGGUGCAAGCGUUAAUCGGAAUUACUGGGCGUAAAGCGCACGCAGGCGGUUUGUUAAGUCAGAUGUGAAAUCCCCGGGCUCAACCUGGGAACUGCAUCUGAUACUGGCAAGCUUGAGUCUCGUAGAGGGGGGUAGAAUUCCAGGUGUAGCGGUGAGAUGCGUAGAGAUCUGGAGGAAUACCGGUGGCGAAGGCGGCCCCCUGGACGAAGACUGACGCUCAGGUGCGAAAGCGUGGGGAGCAAACAGGAUUAGAUACCCCAGUAGUC